UUCUUUUAGGGGGUUUAAUUAAAUAACAACCAAAAUAAAAUAAAAUAGUUAGUUAGUUAACACAAUAAAUAUAUACGUAAAUAAGAGUAAAGGAAGAAUAAGAUUCAAACUUGAGCUUUUUGCCCCAAUUCUAAAGCUGAUGCAAAUUUGGGCCAAAUCAGGCCUUUUCUUCUUUGUUGAGCCUGCUGUAUAUACAAAAUGUAUCACACUAUAUAUAGUCAUUUUUAAGCUGUAUAUCAGCCUAAUUUCUUCAACAUCUUGUACGUUCUCUCCUUUCUUUUCAGUAUUCUGCUGCGUUUACCCUUUAUUACAAUAUUUUGCCCCGUAUACCAGUGUAUACAACAGGUAUGCAUCACAUAUGUAGCCCCUUUUUUAGGCUUUAGGGACUUGAUAAGUCAACUUCCAGCCAUGUAUGCCUUUCUCGACACCUGUUCAUCAGUUUCAAGGGUCGGCCGACUCGAAGGAAAGGGUUGAAGCCUUCGUGUCUCUCACGAAAUGCGGGAAAAGGAAAAUAGGAGUUCAUGGUGAACUCAGGCAGACUUACAUGGAACAAAAGAAUGAGGAAAAGAAUUAGUAAACAAACAUAAUAGGAGCAAUAACGUAUCUAAAACCAUUUAUCGUAACAACAACUGAAUUAAUAUGCAGCAAAUAACUCGCUUCGACCAAACAGUGAAGAUCUAAUGGAGGAAUACAAAUUCUAAUGAUACUAACAACCCAAAUCAUACCAAUGACAAAAUAAUGACUACUUACAAUCAACAACAAACAUUAUACCCUCCAACGAAUUUAAUAAAAAAAUUGCCUAUUAACAAGUAGUACUAACUGUUAAGAGCAAAAUCAAUCAAAUUCAAUCAAUAUCAUAUGGAACACCAUGAUUGAGAGAGGACCAAUUUUGAAACCAAACACUACUCAAAUUGGAUAUGCUUUAUCACAUACAAUAGAGAAAAAACACACAAAGAGGAACUUCUAUGCGAAAAUCGAACAUUUGAACCAUGACAAGAAAAUAAAAUUGAAACAAAAGGAAGGAACAAGGAGGGAGCUGGCUAUUUUUCAAAUCAAGGGUCAAAACCAAAAAGACAUAGACAUCAUAUUAGGCUUUACGAGAAGUUCACAAGGACUCACAAUGUUAGUUAAACUUGAAACCUCACACCUAUGUAAAUAACCAAAAUCAACAAUAACAAACUAAAUGAAGCACAACUAAUACUUGCAGGUUUUUUAAACAACAGAAAGCCAAUUCAACACAAAAUUAAAUAAAUGAGGAAAAUAAAUAGAUAAACUUGAAUAGCGAAACACAUAAUCAACCUAACUGAAGCUAAAACGAAAAACUUUAAGCUCAAUAUUAAAACAAAACUCAAUGAUAAUCACAACCAUGACCACUGGUAACAACCCCACAACACUAGAAACACCAUGUCAAAAAUAAAGAAGAUGAAGGGAGUAUCAUGCCGGAGAAGGCGUUAUCUUUCUCUGGGCAGCUAAACUGAGACAACUGAAGAGCUUGGAGGGCAGCGACUUCCGACGACUCCGAGAGAUUACGAUUAACAACUACAUUCGGAAAAAGAGAACACAACCUAAACACUCACUGUUAAUAUUGGUGGACUUUUGGGUCUGUAUUUCACGGUAUACUUUACUUUUCUUGAAUCCAAAUUUUCCAACUAAAAAUUUCUAACUUUUCUUCCCAAUCCCCAAACAAUGAAGAAGGAGGGGAUAUUUAUAAGGGGAGAUAUAAGGCAGAAAGAGGGGGAAACCGAUUGAAUUUCGAAUUCUCUUCAAGGGAUAAGGCUGCCAGCUCGAAUGAGUACAAGUCUCAAAAAGAAUAAUGAUGAAGUUGCUUGAUUCUCGAGCAAGGAGGAGUGAGAUGCAAAGAUGGAGACACCUCAGGAUUUGAGUACAAGUAGAUAAGGACAAUAGGAGAGGGAUGCGGAGCUGGGUUUGAGAUACUGGUUCGCGAUUCGUGUCGCGAUUUUCUAGGUUUCUUUGGGUUAACUGUUGGAGGAGAAAUAGAACGCGUAGGUUCUGGGCUCGGG
This 2021-nucleotide long non-coding RNA is filed under the name Solanum lycopersicum (tomato). Its description in RNAcentral is "long non-coding RNA (SLYC_LNC000034)". The record is from RNAcentral. Lineage: Eukaryota; Viridiplantae; Streptophyta; Magnoliopsida; Solanales; Solanaceae.